AUUUUCAUUAAAAAAAAAACGCCACAAACAUCUCCCUUUGCUUUCUUCAAUUCAAAUUACACCAAAUUAAGUUGUCAAAGCAAAAAUUUACCAAUGGUGUCGUUAAGUUCUCCAGUUCAAAUGCAAACUGCAUUGAUAUGCUAAGCAUGGAGCUCUGGAGAAGAUUCCCUCACCGGCUGCUUCUAAUCCGCAGCUUCGUUGACGCCAGGAUCAAGUGGGUUCGUGACCCAUACCUAGACAUUGCCGUCGAAAGAGAGAAACCUCAAAGAAAUCCUUUCCCUCAAAAACCAAAUCCUCUCCUCUCCCUCCAAAUCCCUCCAAAUCCCUCCCCCUUUCCUCUCUCUCCCCUCUCAAAUCCCACUUCAAUCUCCCCACCUCUACUUCCAAGCUCUUUCAAAACUACCCUUCCAUUUUCUCCCCCUUCCAACCCUCUCCCUCUCUUCCUCUCCACGUCAAGCUCACCCCUCAAGCUAUGACUCUGCACAAAGAGGAGCUAGCUAUUCACAACUCUCCCCCUCAUCGAAACGACGUCGUAAACAGGUUGGCUAAGCUCUUAAUGCUGACUAAAGCAGGCCUUACAUCUGCAGACUGUCUCCCAACUUUGCUCCAAGAGGAGGGAGAAGAAGGUGCCCUCUCGAUGACAACUAGGUUACGAUCAGCAAGCACGUCAAAAGGCUUUCCUGUAAACUAUUGUUCCGGUUUUCGUUCAGUAGGCACGGAAACAGCUUGCAAAGAGGAUGGAGUAUCACAUCAGAGUUUUAGGCUCGAGGUUAAUGCUAUAGACUAUGGUUUUGAACCAACUGAUACACCAAGAACUGAUAGAUCGGUAUCAAAGAAUAUAGAGCUGGGUUUGGCUGCUCUGCAUGGCCAAAAAGGGCCAGCAUAUGAUCUCAUCAUUUUAAAUGCCGGAAUUGUGGAUCAUUUACUGGGUUGUGAUGGUGCUGAAGACGUGACUAUAGCUCUCGAUAGGGCCAGGGAAGCCGUUGAUAGUGGACUGAGCAAUGCUUCCUUUAUAGAAGUUAGCAUCACAAUGUCAAAAGGAAGCGGACAAAUGCAAUUCAGGUAUGGAGACGUGCGAAGAAGUAAGGGAGAAAGCUGAAGAAGCACUGUCGGCUCAAAUGAAAUUAACAGCAAUGUGGGAAAUAAGAGCUCGUCAGAAAGGGUGGAGAGAAAAGGUCGCCAAAUCUAAUGCACAGACACAAGAAUCCCAACUGAUUGAAUCAUACCUUUGAAACAUGCGAGCUAUAAUUUACUGUGUAAGCUGAUGGAGUUACCAUAAUAUAGCUCUUUUAUGUUUUGACUGGUGGCAAAUGGAACAAGAAAAACCAACUACACUAGAUUGCAGUCCAAGAACAAUUUGCAGAAGGCACAUAAUGGUUGGCUCCUACCUCUACAAAUGCAUAUGGGAGGCAUUGCAGCAGCGAAUAAGAAUGAUAUUGAUCAACAUGCAGUUGACACCGUAUGUGCUCUAAAUCCGAAUUCAAGUGUGAGUUUCAGAUAUUUUAUGUGCAAUAAAGUAUUAGAGUGCCUUAUGUUUGUAUGUUAGUUAAGCAUAUUAUAGUUAGAACCUGCAGUAGGAUCAACUAAUUAGUUGAUCAAAAACUACACCCAGUUUUGUAAUAGUCUACUUGCAUAUUUGCAUAUAUUUAAUAAUAAUCUCAUGUCAACUAA
Molecule: RNA transcript, 1671 nt
Organism: Gossypium arboreum
Lineage: Eukaryota; Viridiplantae; Streptophyta; Magnoliopsida; Malvales; Malvaceae
Exons: 8
Source: RefSeq, a predicted model, not a curated record